GUAAGCCAGUCUUCUCACCGUUACCAUGUAUGGAUCACUCGCUCUUCGUUUCGAAGGAAAAAAAUCAGCCAUGAUAGUGUACACGCCCGCGCAUCUCAGUGUGUGUAUAUUCUUCUGCAUGUACUUGGUUAAGCGUGCAAACACUGUUUCGCAUUGAUAGACACGAGUCGCAGUAUGCAAACAUAACGGACCUACCAAUAACGGGGGAUCAUAUUUAUUAUCAAGGUAGACUAAUACUAUCGAUGAUACAAACAACGGCGAAUGAGGAUAAUUUGGAAGAACCGAGUCGGAACGACGCGACAGACGUACCAAACCUUGCCCCGCCUCAACUUUUAUUGAUCCCGAGGACGUCGUGCACGACAAACACGUCUAAAUAUUUCCGCAGCCGUAUAUUCGUGUCGACGUAUCUCAAUUACAUAGAACUAUCACUCUUGAAAAUUGUUUAUUGCAAAAAUAUUCGAAAUAUCUCAUCGCAAAGAUUUUCAUGCGAAUACCAGUAGGGGUGGCCGAGUUGUAUAUCGAGGACAAGAUUUUGACAUACGACUACUUUCUCGAAUGAUCUUGUGAUACGAGUCUGAAAACGAGUAACAACGGAGCCGCAAGUUGCCGUAAAUGGUGUCGUUUUCUACUUUGGACAGAGUACGGAUACAUCGCGGCGAAGUCGUGGAUCAAGGGAACCAACUCGAUAACGGUAGCUUCGAAAUCUGAUUGUGAGUCACCCAGUUGUUCUUCUCGAUCUCUCCUCCUAUUCUCGUAUGAAUCCUGUUUUCUUUCCGUAUUUCAAUUUUUAUCCUUAUCUUAUUUUUCUACUUCUCAUUUUUCACAUUUUUUUCGCUUUAUUUUUUAUUGUUUAAAGAUUGUUUUCUAUUAGGAUUUUGAUCAUAGACCGGAUAAAAUUCACAGAUAUUAAACUUAUCGUUAUCGUAAACUAUACAUUACAAGAGAUUAGAAGUAGAAAUUUUUAUAUUGUUUAAAUAUUUAAUAUAAUUUUUGUAUUGUUUUAAUAAAGUACAAUUAUCAAUUAGAAAACUGAGAAUAUCCAAUUCUGCGACCAGUCUGGUUAUUGAGUAACACUUUACGGUGAUAUCAUCGUAACACGAUGUCGCAUUUCCAAAACGGGAAAAACAUUUAUAUAUUCGGUUUUCGCUUGUAUUUAGUUUUGUUUAUAGAGUAACUUUAUCUAAUAAUGUUCUCAAUAAAAUUUAAUAAAAUAUAUGAUUCGCUUCAUCGUUUUUUUUAAAAAUAUUUUCAUCUUAGGUAGAAUUUCACUCGAAAAUGUUAUUUUAAAUGGUAUUAAAAUUUAUCCUGUUCUUCCCAAAAUUAUUUAGAAGAUGUUAGUAAUAUAACUCGUAAAAUAUUUAUUGCGAAAAACGCGAUAAAAGAAGGUAAAAAAUAAGGAGAGGUUCACACGAUCGAAUCACGAAGCGGUAUGUCCAUGUUUGGAUACGUCUACUGCAUUUUAUAUGUCACGUUUUCUAUCCAUUUCCUUUCGUUGUUUGUAAUUGAUUGAACUUACGUAAUAUAAUUUUUUAAUAUAAUUUUGUACGUCUGAAAAAAAAAAAAUAGAAAUUUAUUAAAAAUAUAUUGGUGUUUAUCUAUUUGAUAAUCAAAACUCUUUUUAAAAAUUGUUCAUUUAAUCAUAGAUUAAGUUUAACUUGCAUAUUAUACAAUUUUAAUUAGUUAAAAUUAAUGGUAAAAAUCUGUAGAGAUCAGAGUAGAAGUAUUCCAUGAAUAUUUGUACGAGUAUUCUCGACAAGCACAAUAAGUGGCACAAGACCACUUUCUAUCUGCAUCCAGAUAAUGUCUCGAUGUGAAUCUUAAAGAUUCAUUUGAUUCAAAGUUUUUUAUUUUUAUUUACUGUUGUUAUUGAAACAUAUUUUUUGUUAUUGAAGCAGAAAAUAAAAUCUGAAGAAAAAUAAAAUCUUAAAUAAAAUAAUAUAUAAAAUUAUAUAUAAUAUAUAAUAAUAUAAUAUAAUUCUACUAGUAAAGGAUAAAGCAUGUCUCAUUGGUAAAUUCCUGGCAAAUGGUUCUUUGGGGCGUAGCCGAGACCAGGAACACGAUCGAUUUUCGUCCAAAGCGCAUUGCAGGUAUUUCGGAUGGGCGGUUCUUGACGUUCGUAGUGAAUUGUAUUAAUGUGUAUUUUAAUCGUCUAGAUGCUUUUUAGAAUGCGAAUUUUAUUUUUCUCCUCAUAUUAAUUAUAUUGUGAUUCUUACUUCGUUUAAUAAUUCAAUCGUUAGUUACAAUAUAAUAUAUAUAUUAAAAAUUACGAAUUCGAAAGAUUGAUUUUCAAUUCAAAAGACGGAAACGUUAUUUGGAAGCGUCUUUUGCCGAAAGAGGUAAGCUUAUGGAAAACCUUCAUCGCCCACGUGAUUUUAUAGUUCCUUUCUCUGACUUGAUUUCUGUGCCGGUUAUCCCACGUGUGUCCUCUAUGCUGUGUCAGCAUAGUGUAAGAUAAAUGGUGUUCAAAGAUUUAAAAAAAAAAAAGUUUUUUCUAAUGUCUAUGAAUGUCUAUGAUUAUAAGGAUAAAUAUUAAAAAAAAAAUACUUCUUAAAAAUUCUUCUACUAUUAUUUCUAAAAGUUUAUCACAAUAU
Long non-coding RNA from Apis laboriosa (Himalayan honeybee), 2591 nucleotides. RefSeq lists it as uncharacterized. The record is from RefSeq and is a predicted model, not a curated record. The transcript has 3 exons. Lineage: Eukaryota; Metazoa; Arthropoda; Insecta; Hymenoptera; Apidae.